Molecule: ribosomal RNA, 1457 nt
Filed under: Streptococcus salivarius
Lineage: Bacteria; Bacillati; Bacillota; Bacilli; Lactobacillales; Streptococcaceae
Description: bacterial SSU rRNA
Rfam family: Bacterial small subunit ribosomal RNA
Source: RNAcentral
UCGGCCGGGGGGGGCGUGCUUAUACAUGCAGUAGAACGCUGAAGAGAGGAGCUUGCUCUUCUUGGAUGAGUUGCGAACGGGUGAGUAACGCGUAGGUAACCUGCCUUGUAGCGGGGGAUAACUAUUGGAAACGAUAGCUAAUACCGCAUAACAAUGGAUGACACAUGUCAUUUAUUUGAAAGGGGCAAUUGCUCCACUACAAGAUGGACCUGCGUUGUAUUAGCUAGUAGGUGAGGUAACGGCUCACCUAGGCGACGAUACAUAGCCGACCUGAGAGGGUGAUCGGCCACACUGGGACUGAGACACGGCCCAGACUCCUACGGGAGGCAGCAGUAGGGAAUCUUCGGCAAUGGGGGCAACCCUGACCGAGCAACGCCGCGUGAGUGAAGAAGGUUUUCGGAUCGUAAAGCUCUGUUGUAAGUCAAGAACGAGUGUGAGAGUGGAAAGUUCACACUGUGACGGUAGCUUACCAGAAAGGGACGGCUAACUACGUGCCAGCAGCCGCGGUAAUACGUAGGUCCCGAGCGUUGUCCGGAUUUAUUGGGCGUAAAGCGAGCGCAGGCGGUUUGAUAAGUCUGAAGUUAAAGGCUGUGGCUCAACCAUAGUUCGCUUUGGAAACUGUCAAACUUGAGUGCAGAAGGGGAGAGUGGAAUUCCAUGUGUAGCGGUGAAAUGCGUAGAUAUAUGGAGGAACACCGGUGGCGAAAGCGGCUCUCUGGUCUGUAACUGACGCUGAGGCUCGAAAGCGUGGGGAGCGAACAGGAUUAGAUACCCUGGUAGUCCACGCCGUAAACGAUGAGUGCUAGGUGUUGGAUCCUUUCCGGGAUUCAGUGCCGCAGCUAACGCAUUAAGCACUCCGCCUGGGGAGUACGACCGCAAGGUUGAAACUCAAAGGAAUUGACGGGGGCCCGCACAAGCGGUGGAGCAUGUGGUUUAAUUCGAAGCAACGCGAAGAACCUUACCAGGUCUUGACAUCCCGAUGCUAUUUCUAGAGAUAGAAAGUUACUUCGGUACAUCGGUGACAGGUGGUGCAUGGUUGUCGUCAGCUCGUGUCGUGAGAUGUUGGGUUAAGUCCCGCAACGAGCGCAACCCCUAUUGUUAGUUGCCAUCAUUCAGUUGGGCACUCUAGCGAGACUGCCGGUAAUAAACCGGAGGAAGGUGGGGAUGACGUCAAAUCAUCAUGCCCCUUAUGACCUGGGCUACACACGUGCUACAAUGGUUGGUACAACGAGUUGCGAGUCGGUGACGGCAAGCUAAUCUCUUAAAGCCAAUCUCAGUUCGGAUUGUAGGCUGCAACUCGCCUACAUGAAGUCGGAAUCGCUAGUAAUCGCGGAUCAGCACGCCGCGGUGAAUACGUUCCCGGGCCUUGUACACACCGCCCGUCACACCACGAGAGUUUGUAACACCCGAAGUCGGUGAGGUAACCUUUUGGAGCCAGCCGCUAAGGGGAAUAGAAAG